CAGCCGCCGCGGGAAUACGUAGGGCGCAAGCGUUAUCCGGAAUUAUUGGGCGUAAAGAGCUCGUAGGCGGUUUGUCGCGUCUGCCGUGAAAGUCCGGGGCUCAACCCCGGAUCUGCGGUGGGUACGGGCAGACUAGAGUGAUGUAGGGGAGACUGGAAUUCCUGGUGUAGCGGUGAAAUGCGCAGAUAUCAGGAGGAACACCGAUGGCGAAGGCAGGUCUCUGGGCAUUAACUGACGCUGAGGAGCGAAAGCAUGGGAAGCGAACAGGAUUAGAUACCCGGGUAGUCCCUGUCUCUUAUAC
RNAcentral lists this ribosomal RNA (301 nucleotides) under uncultured bacterium. RNAcentral describes it as "partial 16S ribosomal RNA". It matches the Rfam family "Bacterial small subunit ribosomal RNA", at positions 509 to 807 of the family's 1533-position model. The record is from RNAcentral.